Molecule: ribosomal RNA, 512 nt
Filed under: uncultured bacterium
Lineage: Bacteria
Description: bacterial SSU rRNA
Rfam family: Bacterial small subunit ribosomal RNA
Source: RNAcentral
ACACGACUACGAGUUUGAUCCUGUCUCAGGAUGAACGCUAGCGGCAGGCCUAAUACAUGCAAGUCGAACGGAUAUAUGUUUUUCGGAAUAUAUAUUAGUGGCGCACGGGUGAGUAACACGUACAUAACUUGCCCUCAAGCGGGGGAUAGCCUUGGGGAAACUGAGAGUAAUACCCCAUAGAAUUAUUGGACGGCAUCGUUUGAUAAUUAAAACUACGGUGCUUGGGGAUAGAUGUGCGUCUGAUUAGCUAGUUGGUGAGGUAACUGUUCACCAAGGCGACGAUCAGUAGGGGGCGUGAGAGCGUGGCCCCCCACACGGGUACUGAGACACGGACCCGACUCCUACGGGAGGCAGCAGUAAGGAAUAUUGGUCAAUGCCCGGAAGGGUGAACCAGCCAUGCCGCGUGAAGGAUGACUGCCCUCUGGGUUGUAAACUUCUUUUGGAUGGGACGAAAAAACGGGNUUUAUCCUGGACUGACGGUACCAUCAGAAUAAGCACCGGCUAACUCCGUG